This 468-nucleotide ribosomal RNA is filed under the name uncultured bacterium. RNAcentral's name for it is "partial 16S ribosomal RNA". It matches the Rfam family "Bacterial small subunit ribosomal RNA", at positions 28 to 507 of the family's 1533-position model. The record is from RNAcentral.
GACGAACGCUGGCGGCGUGCUUAACACAUGCAAGUCGAACGGAAAGGCCCUGCUUUUGUGGGGUGCUCGAGUGGCGAACGGGUGAGUAACACGUGAGUAACCUGCCCUUGACUUUGGGAUAACUUCAGGAAACUGGGGCUAAUACCGGAUAGGAGCUCCUGCUGCAUGGUGGGGGUUGGAAAGUUUCGGCGGUUGGGGAUGGACUCGCGGCUUAUCAGCUUGUUGGUGGGGUAGUGGCUUACCAAGGCUUUGACGGGUAGCCGGCCUGAGAGGGUGACCGGCUGCAGUGGGAAUUAGAGACGGCACAGACUCAGGCGGGAGCCAGCAGGGGGGGAGAGGGAUCAAGGGGCUGAGGCCUGAUGCAGCAGCGCCGGGGGCGGGAUGACGGGCUUCGGGUUGGAAAACGCGUUCGCCUGUGACGAAGCGUGAGGUACGGUAAUGGGUAGAGAAGAACCGGAUAACUAGGUG